This 433-nucleotide ribosomal RNA is filed under the name uncultured bacterium. Its description in RNAcentral is "partial 16S ribosomal RNA". It matches the Rfam family "Bacterial small subunit ribosomal RNA", at positions 29 to 507 of the family's 1533-position model. The record is from RNAcentral.
AACGAACGCUGGCGGCAUGCCUAACACAUGCAAGUCGAACGAGACCUUCGGGUCUAGUGGCGCACGGGUGCGUAACGCGUGGGAACCUGCCCUUAGGUUCGGAAUAACUCCCCGAAAGGGGUGCUAAUACCGGAUAAUGUCUUCGGACCAAAGAUUUAUCGCCUUUGGAUGGGCCCGCGUUGGAUUAGCUAGUUGGUAGGGUAAAAGCCUACCAAGGCGACGAUCCAUAGCUGGUCUGAGAGGAUGAUCAGCCACACUGGGACUGAGACACGGCCCAGACUCCUACGGGAGGCAGCAGUGGGGAAUAUUGGACAAUGGGCGGAAGCCUGAUCCAGCAAUGCCGCGUGAGUGAUGAAGGCCUUAGGGUUGUAAAGCUCUUUUACCCGGGAUGAUAAUGACAGUACCGGGAGAAUAAGCACCGGCUAACUCCGUG